CCCCACUGCUAUCGAGGUGAGACUUAGCCAGGCCAGUCGAACGACUCGGACUAUGGCGAGAAGUGGCAAACUGCUCAGUAACACGUAGCUAACCUAACCUCAGGACGGAGACAACCCCGGGAAACUGGGGUUAAUCCCCGAUAGGCGUGAAUUCCUGGAAUGGUGUCACGCCGAAACGUUAACACACCAUGUUUGUGUACACGCCUGAGGAUGGGGCUGCGGCCGAUCAGGCAGUUGGUGAGGUAACGGCUCACCAAACCUUUGACCGGUACGGGCCGUGAGAGCGGUAGCCCGGAGAUGGACACUGAGACAAGGGUCCAGGACCUACGGGUCGCAGCCGGUACGAAACCUCCACAAUGCACGCAAGUGCGAUGGGGUUACCUCGAGUGCCGCCUGAAGAAGGCGGCUUUUCCAUUGUGUAAUGAGCCGUGGGAAUAAGGGGGGGGCAAGACUGGUGUCAGCCGCCGCGGUAACACCAGCCCCCCGAGUGGUGGGGAUGUUUAUUUGGCCUAAAACGUCCGUAGCCAGCUAGGUAAAUCUCUCGUUAAAUCCAGCGUCCUAAGCGUUGGGCUGCGAGAGAGACUGCCAAGCUAGAGGGUGGGAGAGGUCAGCGGUAUUUCUGGGGUAGGGGCGAAAUCCAUUGAUCCCAGGAGGACCACCAGUGGCGAAGGCUGCUGACUAGAACACGCCUGACGGUGAGGGACGAAAGCUGGGGUAGCGAAUCGGAUUAGAUACCCGAGUAGUCCCAGCCGUAAACGAUGCAGGCUAGGUGUUGGGUUGGCCCAUGUGCCGACUCAGUGCCACAGGGAAGCCAUUAAGCCUGCUGCCUGGGGAGUACGGUCGCAAGGCUGAAACUUAA
Molecule: ribosomal RNA, 859 nt
Filed under: uncultured archaeon
Lineage: Archaea
Description: bacterial SSU rRNA
Rfam family: Archaeal small subunit ribosomal RNA
Source: RNAcentral